RNAcentral lists this ribosomal RNA (814 nucleotides) under uncultured marine bacterium. RNAcentral's name for it is "bacterial SSU rRNA". It matches the Rfam family "Bacterial small subunit ribosomal RNA", at positions 50 to 862 of the family's 1533-position model. The record is from RNAcentral.
UAUACAUGCAAGUCGAGGGGUAACAGGAAGUGCUUGCACUUCGCUGACGACCGGCGCACGGGUGAGUACCGCGUAUACAAUCUGCCUCAUACUAGGGAAUAGCCCGAAGAAAUUUGGAUUAAUGCCCUAUAGUAUCUUUUUAAGGCAUCUUAUUAAGAUUAAAGGUUACGGUAUGAGAUGAGUAUGCGUUCUAUUAGCUAGUAGGUGUGGUAACGGCACACCUAGGCUACGAUAGAUAGGGGCCCUGAGAGGGGGAUCCCCCACACUGGUACUGAGACACGGACCAGACUCCUACGGGAGGCAGCAGUAAGGAAUAUUGGACAAUGGGCGAAAGCCCGAUCCAGCCAUGCCGCGUGCAGGAUGACGGCCCUAUGGGUUGUAAACUGCUUUUAUAUAGGAAGAAAAACUUUCUCGUGAGAAAGCUUGACGGUACUAUAAGAAUAAGGAUCGGCUAACUCCGUGCCAGCAGCCGCGGUAAUACGGAGGAUCCAAGCGUUAUCCGGAAUCAUUGGGUUUAAAGGGUCCGUAGGUGGACAAAUAAGUCAGAGGUGAAAUCCUGCAGCUCAACUGUAGAACUGCCUUUGAUACUGUUUGUCUUGAGUUAUUAUGAAGUGGUUAGAAUGUGUAGUGUAGCGGUGAAAUGCAUAGAUAUUACACAGGAUACCGAUUGCGAAGGCAGAUCACUAAUAAUUAACUGACACUGAGGGACCAAAGCGUGGGUAGCGAACAGGAUUAGAUACCCUGGUAGUCCACGCCGUAAACGAUGGUCACUAGCUGUUUGGACUUCGGUCUGAGUGGCUAAGCGAAAGUGAUA